UGAACGCUGGCGGCGUGCCUACUACAUGCACGUCGAGCGAACAGACGAGGAGCUUGCUCCUCUGACGUUAGCGGCGGACGGGUGAGUAACACGUGGAUAACCUACCUAUAAGACUGGGAUAACUUCGGGAAACCGGAGCUAAUACCGGAUAAUAUAUUGAACCGCAUGGUUCACUAGUGAAAGACGGUUUUGCUGUCACUUAUAGAUGGAUCCGCGCCGCAUUAGCUAGUUGGUAAGGUAACGGCUUACCAAGGCGACGAUGCGUAGCCGACCUGAGAGGGUGAUCGGCCACACUGGAACUGAGACACGGUCCAGACUCCUACGGGAGGCAGCAGUAGGGAAUCUUCCGCAAUGGGCGAAAGCCUGACGGAGCAACGCCGCGUGAGUGAUGAAGGUCUUCGGAUCGUAAAACUCUGUUAUUAGGGAAGAACAAAUGUGUAAGUAACUAUGCACGUCUUGACGGUACCUAAUCAGAAAGCCACGGCUAACUACGUG
This 495-nucleotide ribosomal RNA is filed under the name uncultured bacterium. Its description in RNAcentral is "partial 16S ribosomal RNA". It matches the Rfam family "Bacterial small subunit ribosomal RNA", at positions 30 to 507 of the family's 1533-position model. The record is from RNAcentral.